RNAcentral lists this small RNA (126 nucleotides) under Arabidopsis thaliana (thale cress). RNAcentral describes it as "ATSL088410". The record is from RNAcentral. Lineage: Eukaryota; Viridiplantae; Streptophyta; Magnoliopsida; Brassicales; Brassicaceae.
ACCCUCUAAUACUACUCUCGUCCAAGCACGCUUAACUGCAGUGUUCUGAUGGGAUCCGGUGCAUUAGUGCUGGUAUGAUCGCAUCUGUUAGUACAUGCAAUGCAAUCGUAUUUAUACUUUUUUGGC